AGAAAUUGCCUUAGUGUGCCAUCUAAUUGCAAUCAGUUCUAUAUCAGUUUGAAUUUUAUUCAGUUCAAAAUUUGUUACCCAUAUUAAAAACUGUAUACCUCUCUACCUUUCCAUAAAUAAUUUAAUUGGUACAUUUUACUCUGCAUGUGUGUACAUUUUCUGUUACCUCCCAUCUGGGUGUAAUUUUCCAUAGUCUCUCCUCAUGAUCUGCAUUUUCUCCUUCAAGUUCCUCCUCUAAACCCACUUCUGUGGAUCUUGCCUUCACAUUAUGCCUUUAAAAGCUCCAGCUGGAAGGAAGUGCCUCUGAAUGGAGUCCAAGGGAAGAAACAAAGAAGAUGGGAACCAGAUGUCAUUUAAGUCAUCCCAGUAGAACAGAACCCUAAUGUUGGUUUGGGGUAACCAUUCCUGCUCCGCUCUUACCCCACAUGAUUUGGAUGAAUCUGAUGGCAACCGCUGCCCGCAGGGAUGGAAUACGGAAUCUAGGCUUAGGCCAAAGUGUGCAAUCUAUGUCCUUGGCCACAAUCACUGGUUUGGAAAUGAGCAAGCCAAGCUCAUCUGCUUAAGUGGCUGGAAUCUAAGAGAAUAUGAAGCUAGAGCUACUGUAGCAGGGUGGCCACCACAUGGAACAAGAGGAUGAAGCUUACAGAUGGAGGAGGGUGAGCUGAAAUUGAGUCCUGCUCAUGUU
Molecule: long non-coding RNA, 685 nt
Organism: Choloepus didactylus (southern two-toed sloth)
Lineage: Eukaryota; Metazoa; Chordata; Mammalia; Pilosa; Megalonychidae
Exons: 3
Source: RefSeq, a predicted model, not a curated record